Nilaparvata lugens (brown planthopper) is the source of this 602-nucleotide long non-coding RNA. RefSeq lists it as uncharacterized. The record is from RefSeq and is a predicted model, not a curated record. The transcript is spliced from 3 exons. Lineage: Eukaryota; Metazoa; Arthropoda; Insecta; Hemiptera; Delphacidae.
UUCAGGUGGCUGAUGGAGGAAUUCCGUUGACUUGAGCUGCAAUGGAGCCUGAAAGGCAGUGGAGCCAAUAGAAGUAAAGCUGGUAGCUUAUAGCUGACUUGUAUUCAAAUCUUGGAAGAUGGAUGACCGCGCGCUGUGAGAUCUACUACAUUGAGAAGACCUCAUCGCCAAUCUAUAGCUGUGGAUUACCUCAUCACAUCCUCAUAAUAUUAUUAAUCGCAAAUGGAGUUUUCUUCAGGAAAGGCAAUCAAUCGGCAGUCGACAUUGAUGAAUUACGACCGAGACUAUAAACUGACUGAGACAAUAAAUGUAGACAUUUAUCAUUUUAUGUUUUUUCAUUCAUCUUAUUAUUUUCGUUUUAUGAUUUCUUCAUUUGUAAUAAAUUAAAUGUUAUUAGUUUUGGUUUCAUCAUUUUAUUUUUGUUUUAUCAUCAUUAUUAUUUUAUUUCAUUCAUCAUCAUCAUUAUUAGAUAGAUAUUGGAGUUCCAGAGUGGACUUUACUCAUUUCAUCAAAACUUGACCUUAUUGGUUAUGGUUUCCGAAAGAGUGAUAUUUUGAUGGCUAUGAAUUGUUUUUAAUUGUAUAAACUCAAUUCAUAAUUUU